RNAcentral lists this ribosomal RNA (343 nucleotides) under uncultured bacterium. RNAcentral describes it as "bacterial SSU rRNA". It matches the Rfam family "Bacterial small subunit ribosomal RNA", at positions 8 to 349 of the family's 1533-position model. The record is from RNAcentral.
AGAGUUUGAUCAUGGCUCAGGAUGAACGCUAGCUACAGGCUUAACACAUGCAAGUCGAGGGGCAGCAUGUUGGUUGCUUGCAACCAAUGAUGGCGACCGGCGCACGGGUGAGUAACGCGUAUCCAACCUACCCUUGUCCAUCGGAUAACCCGUCGAAAGGCGGCCUAACACGAUAUGCGGUUCUCAGCAGGCAUCUGACGAGAACGAAAUGUGAAGGAGAAGGAUGGGGAUGCGUCUGAUUAGCUUGUUGGCGGGGUAACGCCACAAGGCGACGAUCAGUAGGGUUCUGAGAGGAAGGUCCCCANAUUGGAACUGAGACACGGUCCAAACUCCUACGGGAGCA